GUCCGGUGUCCCGUCAAGAUGAGGUGCAUUGCGCUACUGUGCAUGAGUGCGCAUGCGCACAUCAUUCUACCCCGGACUUGAAGACGUCACCCGUCGAGAUGUGGUGAACGUCGAGAUGAGGUGAACGUCGAGAUGUGGUGAACGUCGAGAUGAGGUGAACAUCGAGAUGAGGUGAACGUCGAGAUGAGGUGAAUGUCGAGAUGAGGUGAACGUUGAGAUGAGAUGAACGUCGAGAUGAGGUGCAUUGCGCUACUGUGCAUGAGUGCGCAUGCGCACAUCAUUCUACCCCGGACUUGAAGACGUCACCCGUCGAGAUGAGGUGCGUCGCGCU
Molecule: long non-coding RNA, 331 nt
Organism: Thalassophryne amazonica
Lineage: Eukaryota; Metazoa; Chordata; Actinopteri; Batrachoidiformes; Batrachoididae
Exons: 3
Source: RefSeq, a predicted model, not a curated record